AGUCGAACGGUAGCAGGAAGUGCUUGCACUUUGCUGACGAGUGGCGGACGGGUGAGUAAUGCUUGGGAACUUGCCUUGAGGUGGGGGAUAACAGUUGGAAACGACUGCUAAUACCGCAUAAUGUCUACGGACCAAAGGGGGCUUCGGCUCUCGCCUUGAGAGAGGCCCAAGUGAGAUUAGCUAGUUGGUGGGGUAAAGGCCUACCAAGGCAACGAUCUCUAGCUGUUCUGAGAGGAAGAUCAGCCACACUGGGACUGAGACACGGCCCAGACUCCUACGGGAGGCAGCAGUGGGGAAUAUUGCACAAUGGGGGAAACCCUGAUGCAGCCAUGCCGCGUGUGUGAAGAAGGCCUUCGGGUUGUAAAGCACUUUCAGUUGUGAGGAAAAGUUAGUAGUUAAUACCUGCUAACCGUGACGUUAACAACAGAAGAAGCACCGGCUAACUCCGUGCCAGCAGCCGCGGUAAUACGGAGGGUGCGAGCGUUAAUCGGAAUUACUGGGCGUAAAGCGCACGCAGGCGGUUUGUUAAGCUAGAUGUGAAAGCCCCGGGCUCAACCUGGGAUGGUGAUUUAGAACUGGCAGACUAGAGUCUUGGAGAGGGGAGUGGAAUUCCAGGUGUAGCGGUGAAAUGCGUAGAUAUCUGGAGGAACAUCAGUGGCGAAGGCGACUCCCUGGCCAAAGACUGACGCUCAUGUGCGAAAGUGUGGGUAGCGAACAGGAUUAGAUACCCUGGUAGUCCACACCGUAAACGCUGUCUACUAGCUGUGUGUGUCUUUAAGACGUGCGUAGCGAAGCUAACGCGCUAAGUAGACCGCCUGGGGAGUACGGGCCGCAGGGUUAAAACUCAAAUGAAUUGACGGGGGCCCGCACAAGCGGUGAGCAUGUGGUUUACUCGAUGCACGCGAGACCUUACCUACACUUGACAUGCAGAGACUUUCUAGAGAUAGAUGUGCUUCGGGACUCUGACACAGUGCUGCAUGCUGUCGUCAGCUCGUGUCGUGAGAUGUGGUAAGUCCCGCACGAGCGCACCCUGGUCGUAGUGCCGCCUUAGUGGCACUCUAAGGAGACUGCCGGUGACAACCGAGAAGUGAACAACAACAGAUCUUCAUCGGCCCUCUUGUUGGCUAACUCCUGCUUCUUGUCGUUUCAAAGGAGCGCAACCGAGUGUGUGUUCCGACCCUAUAUAUGGAUCUGAUCGCGAUGGAAGGUUGCGCCUCCAUUUUGAUCCGGAUACUUAGAACUCCGCGGUGCGCAAAACGUCGUGAAAUGAAAACUUUG
Molecule: ribosomal RNA, 1278 nt
Filed under: uncultured Alteromonas sp.
Lineage: Bacteria; Pseudomonadati; Pseudomonadota; Gammaproteobacteria; Alteromonadales; Alteromonadaceae
Description: partial 16S ribosomal RNA
Rfam family: Bacterial small subunit ribosomal RNA
Source: RNAcentral